Molecule: non-coding RNA, 231 nt
Filed under: Piscirickettsia salmonis
Lineage: Bacteria; Pseudomonadati; Pseudomonadota; Gammaproteobacteria; Thiotrichales; Piscirickettsiaceae
Source: RNAcentral
AAAGUUCAGCCCUGAAAAUGCAGCUCAGCAUAUCAGGUACCGAGCCUUGAGUAAGUACUGGUAACAGUGCGUGCUAAGCGUAGGCAGGGAAAUAAUAGGCCGUAAGCCAAAGAGCUGAAGUGAUUGAGCCUCGUAAACAUAAUACUGAGAUAGCCGAUGAUUUGGAAUGUAUCAGAAGGCAAUAUCGAACGCUGCGAGCCAUGGAGUGCUAAGCACGGGGUGAGUAGGCCG